RNAcentral lists this ribosomal RNA (126 nucleotides) under uncultured bacterium. RNAcentral's name for it is "partial 16S ribosomal RNA". It matches the Rfam family "Bacterial small subunit ribosomal RNA", at positions 338 to 481 of the family's 1533-position model. The record is from RNAcentral.
CCUACGGGAGGCAGCAGUGGGGAAUCUUAGACAAUGGGCGCAAGCCUGAUCUAGCCAUGCCGCGUGAGUGACGAAGGCCUUAGGGUCGUAAAGCUCUUUCGCCAGAGAUGAUAAUGACAGUAUCUG